UCGAUUUGGAGUUUUGUUGCCCUGAGUGAUGGGCUCCGAAGCUAACGCGAUAAAUCGACCGCCUGGGGAGUACGGCCGCAAGGUUAAAACUCAAAUGAAUUGACGGGGGCCCGCACAAGCGGUGGAGCAUGUGGUUUAAUUCGAUGCAACGCGAAGAACCUUACCUGGUCUUGACAUCCACAGAAUCUUGCAGAGAUGCGAGAGUGCCUUCGGGAACUGUGAGACAGGUGCUGCAUGGCUGUCGUCAGCUCGUGUUGUGAAAUGUUGGGUUAAGUCCCGCAACGAGCGCAACCCUUAUCCUUUGUUGCCAUCGGUUAGGCCGGGAACUCAAAGGAGACUGCCGUUGAUAAAGCGGAGGAAGGUGGGGACGACGUCAAGUCAUCAUGGCCCUUACGACCAGGGCUACACACGUGCUACAAUGGCGUAUACAAAGGGAGGCGACCUCGCGAGAGCAAGCGGACCUCAUAAAGUACGUCUAAGUCCGGAUUGGAGUCUGCAACUCGACUCCAUGAAGUCGGAAUCGCUAGUAAUCGUGAAUCAGAAUGUCACGGUGAAUACGUUCCCGGGCCU
RNAcentral lists this ribosomal RNA (570 nucleotides) under uncultured Gammaproteobacteria bacterium. Its description in RNAcentral is "bacterial SSU rRNA". It matches the Rfam family "Bacterial small subunit ribosomal RNA", at positions 812 to 1381 of the family's 1533-position model. The record is from RNAcentral. Lineage: Bacteria; Pseudomonadati; Pseudomonadota; Gammaproteobacteria.